This is a long non-coding RNA of Mesocricetus auratus (golden hamster), 2635 nucleotides long. RefSeq lists it as uncharacterized. NCBI's taxonomy places the organism in Eukaryota, Metazoa, Chordata, Mammalia, Rodentia, Cricetidae. The record is from RefSeq and is a predicted model, not a curated record. The transcript has 3 exons.
GUCCUCUAGAAGAACAGCCAGUGCUCUUAACUGCUGAGCCGUCUCUCCAGCCCUGAUAAAUAUCUUUUAAAUGGCUAGAUACUAUGUGCUCAAUGUAGAGUAACAGAGUUCCAGAAAGAAAUUUAAACAAAUUUUAAGAAGAGAGAAUGAUCAUAGAAACACUUCCAGAAGUUUAAAAAGUAAAUGUUAGGUUAGAAAUGCCUUCUGAGGGAUGUAACUUGGUGAGAGUGCUUCCCUAGGCAUGUGCAAGGUCCCAGGGAGAGAGAAAAGGAAGGGGGAGAGGAAGAGAAGAAGAAUGUCAUGACAAAAGUGUCUGCUGAGGGGCUGGAAGUGUAAUUCAGUGAGGGAGCCAGUUAACGACCUUGAGGCUUUGGGUCAAAUCUCCAACAUGAGAUAUAAAAAUAACCAAAGGGCUCUCUCACUCUCCACCGAAAUAUGGAGGAGAAAAAGAACUCCCACACGCAGCAGAAGUGCAUACAUUUAUUCAAAGACCAGGUGCAAACACAUUUGUACAGCCCUGUCUGUAACACCUAAAGCCCACUGCACUCAAAAGGCCAUCAACGUUAAAACUGGGCAAAUUAAUUGUAGCAUGUUCACGUAAUGGAUCAGGAAUGGAUGAAUUGCUGUGCCCUGGGCGAAUCUGACAGGCUUAAUGGGAAAUGAGAGACAGGAACAAAAAAGCACAUUGAUGAUCCUGUGUCUACAAAAAUUCAAAAGCAGACCAGCAAGUGCAUAAUGCUAGAGAUGACUGACAGUGGUUACUACUAGGCUGUGUUGUGGCUGCUGCGGGCUCCUGGUAGUAUUCUAUUACAGAAUCCGAUUGCUUGUUUUUGUAAAAAUCCAUCAAGCUGCUGUUGAUAACCUGUGCUCUCUUCUGCAAACAUGUGCUUUUUCAAUAAAAACCUUACACUUUCUAAAGUUCAACAUAUGAUGGUAAAAUUUAGAGCCAGUUACAAAGGAGACUCUAAAAGCUUUAGGUGCAGCUGGAUAGGGCAGCUGGAUACAAGCAUCGUGGUAGAAUAAAGAGGAAAGGGGGAAGAAGAAAGAGUGAGUGAGUGAAUGACUUGGAACCUGAAAAGAUGAUAUUGGAAAUUAAAGGAUGUGAGAUACAUGCCUGUAACUUUUGGGGGCUUGGAGAGUUACACUUCACCUACCAGGGACCAGUAGAAUUAAGGGUGUUUGGUAAGAGACAGUAAAAAAUUGACCACCAUUUCUGAGGAAGUUUCUCAAAGAUAUAUCACCAAACUAAAAGGUGUUCAGAGAGCCUAGAAAACAGAAAAUGGUGGAAAGAGGCUCCGAGGUCUGUAUUUGGUGAAGCAGGGCACCAGGAGCUUUUGGGGAGUGGCCCCAGUGCCCAUGUGACGAUUCUCCCAGAGGGUCUGCUGAUGUGUAGUAUGUAGAAACCUAAGCAAGUGGAAACCAAAAAAGAUAAUUACUAAUAAGAAAACAGCCAGAGCAGGAAAUGCUAUAGUGGAUCUCCCUGAGUUCAUAAAAGCUAUACAUUUUCAGUAUAAACCACUUUGGUUUUUUAUGGGACAUAUAAAAUCCUCAAUGAGCCGUCUAGUUUUAUGUCUACUAACACAUGCUGGAGUCAUUUGGGAAGGGAAACUUCAUUGAGAAAAUGCUCCACCAGGUUGGCUUAUAGGGCAUUUUCUUUACUGACAAUUGAUGUGGGAGGGUCCAGUCCACUGUGGGAAGAGUCAUCCCUAGGCAGGUCCUGUGUGAUAUAAAAAAAAAGCAGGCCGAGUGUAACGACUCUUUUUCUGUCCCACCAGCCAGCUCCCAAAUAAUGACACAAAGACCUAUUAUUAAUUUUUAAAGCUCUGCCUUGGCUUAGGCUUGUCCUCCUAACUCUUAUAACUUAAAUUAACCCAUAUUUUUAUUAAUCUACAUUCUAGCAUGUGGCCUUUACCUCUGUCCCAUUCUGUGUGUUCAAUUCGUUCUGCAUCUCCAUGGGGUCUCUCUGAGGCAUAGAUUAUUUAUCUCCUACUUCCCCCCCCCCCCCGUCCCCCAGAAGUCCUGCCUAUAUCUCCUGCCUAGCUAACGGCCAUUAAGCUCUUUAUUAAACCAGGCACAAUAACACAUCUUCACACAGUGUACAAAUAUCCCACAGCAGCUGAGCAAGCUUGGGGAGAGCCAUGGGGAGCAAACCACAAGCAGCCUCCUCCACGCCUCCAUGCCUCAGUUCCUGCCUUUUGAGCUCCUUGACUUCCCUUGAUGAUGCAAUGUGAUGUGAAACUGUAGAGGACUGUAUGUGUAACUUCACAAAUGAGUUCUGAUCAGAUUGCAGCAGCCAGCAUAACCUCACAAGUGCAAUGCAGUGAAAAAGGAGGCAACGUCACAGACUAGUCCCUUGGAGGCUGGCGGUCAGUGGUCCAGCAUCGCCCGCCUCACAACCAUCUGCAGGAAGACCAUCACUCAGUGAAUUGCCGGUGAUGGAGGAGUGAGUCAGAACGUGUCCCUGCACUGCAGCCCACUAGGCUGCCAGCGUGGAACCCUGUUUUGAGGCCACAUAAGGAUGCUCCUCUGCCAAACGUUGCCUGUUCCAGUGUAAGGUGAUCAGAGCUCGGGAACCCACCACUGAUGACUUGGUCAGUGAAUGUUCUCAGCGUUAAAUAAAAUCUAAAAGUCAUGA